This 72-nucleotide transfer RNA is filed under the name Deltaproteobacteria bacterium. Its description in RNAcentral is "tRNA-Arg". It matches the Rfam family "tRNA". Rfam says of the family: Transfer RNA (tRNA) molecules are approximately 80 nucleotides in length. Their secondary structure includes four short double-helical elements and three loops (D, anti-codon, and T loops). Further hydrogen bonds mediate the characteristic L-shaped molecular structure. tRNAs have two regions of fundamental functional importance: the anti-codon, which is responsible for specific mRNA codon recognition, and the 3' end, to which the tRNAs corresponding amino acid is attached (by aminoacyl-tRNA synthetases). tRNAs cope with the degeneracy of the genetic code in two manners: having more than one tRNA (with a specific anti-codon) for a particular amino acid; and 'wobble' base-pairing, i.e. permitting non-standard base-pairing at the 3rd anti-codon position. Lineage: Bacteria; Pseudomonadati; Myxococcota; Myxococcia. The record is from RNAcentral.
GCCCUCGUAGCUCAGUGGAUAGAGUCCCCGCCUCCGAAGCGGGUUGCGCAGGUUCGAUUCCUGCCGAGGGCG